AUACGGAGGGUGCGAGCGUUGUUCGGAAUUAUUGGGCAUAAAGAGCAUGUAGGCGGUCUGUUAAGUCUGGUGUGAAAGCCCGGGGCUCAACCCCGGAAGUGCAUUGGAUACUGGCAGACUUGAGUAUGGGAGAGGAAAGCGGAAUUCCGAGUGUAGGAGUGAAAUCCGUAGAUAUUCGGAGGAACACCAGUGGCGAAGGCGGCUUUCUGGACCAAUACUGACGCUGAGACGCGAAAGCGUGGGGAGCGAACAGGAUUAGAAACCCGUGUAGUCC
Molecule: ribosomal RNA, 274 nt
Filed under: uncultured bacterium
Lineage: Bacteria
Description: partial 16S ribosomal RNA
Rfam family: Bacterial small subunit ribosomal RNA
Source: RNAcentral